ACUCAAAUGAAUUGACGGGGGCUCACACAAGCGGUGGAGGAUGUGGUUUAAUUCGAAGCAACGCGCAGAACCUUACCAAGUCUUGACAUACCGGGAUUAUUUUCGUGAAAGCGGAGAAAUUUCCAGCAAUGGAGUAACCGGAACAGGUGCUGCAUGGCUGUCGUCAGCUCGUGCCGUGAGGUGUUAGGUUAAGUCCUUUAACGAGCGAAACCCCUACGAUUAGUUACCAGCGCGUAAAGGCGGGGACUCUAGUCGGACUGCCGCGCAAGCAGGAGGAAGGUGGGGACGACGUCAAGUCAUCAUGGCCUUUAUGACUUGGGCCACACACGUCCUACAAUGGAUGGUACAAAGGGUAGCAGACCCGCAAGGCGAAGCCAAUCCCAGAAAGCCAUCCUCAGUUCAGAUUGUGGGCUGCAAUUCGCCCACAUGAAGCUGGAAUCGCUAGUAAUCGCGGAUCAGCUACGCCGCGGUGAAUUUGUUCCUGAGCCUUGUACACACCGCCCGU
This 505-nucleotide ribosomal RNA is filed under the name uncultured bacterium. Its description in RNAcentral is "partial 16S ribosomal RNA". It matches the Rfam family "Bacterial small subunit ribosomal RNA", at positions 899 to 1397 of the family's 1533-position model. The record is from RNAcentral.